RNAcentral lists this ribosomal RNA (388 nucleotides) under uncultured Actinomycetes bacterium. RNAcentral's name for it is "bacterial SSU rRNA". It matches the Rfam family "Bacterial small subunit ribosomal RNA", at positions 233 to 633 of the family's 1533-position model. The record is from RNAcentral. Lineage: Bacteria; Bacillati; Actinomycetota; Actinomycetes.
GCGGCCUAUCAGCUUGUUGGUGAGGUAAUGGCUCACCAAGGCGACGACGGGUAGCCGGCCUGAGAGGGCGACCGGCCACACUGGGACUGAGACACGGCCCAGACUCCUACGGGAGGCAGCAGUGGGGAAUAUUGGGCAAUGGACGCAAGUCUGACCCAGCGACGCCGCGUGCGGGAUGAAGGCCUUCGGGUUGUAAACCGCUUUCAGCAGGGAAGAAGCGAAAGUGACGGUACCUGCAAAAGAAGCACCGGCUAACUAUGUGCCAGCAGCCGCGGUAAUACAUAGGGUGCAAGCGUUGUCCGGAAUUAUUGGGCGUAAAGAGCUCGUAGGUGGUUAGUUACGUCGGGUGUGAAACUCUGGGGCUCAACCCCAGACCUGCACUCGAUAC